UUACCUUUUUGUCUGAGAAGCCAUGGUUGCCGUGUGAGGGUGACUAACUCUUAUAUUCCUCCAACACGGAAAUUAUGACUACCACCAAGAUACGAGGUUUUGAUCAGUCGGAUUCGUGACAGAAAAAUACAUCAUUGUCUCGGUAAUUCAACCAAAUUGACCCAGUAGGGACAUGCAGCAAGUUUAAACGAGGACACGGAUCUUGUAGUCUAAGAGUAGACUUGUUAUGUGAAAGAAGACAAAGUAAACAUCGUGUUUUGUCUAGCUUCUCAAGACUGUGCUAAACGUGGCAACUAGUACUGUUUUUAUACAGCUGUGUAUAUUUUAUUCGAGGAAACUUAUUUUUAAUCUAAAAUGACGACAGCUUUUGUUCCACACAGCAUUUACAGGCGGGAAGCCAGCACAGGUAACGCAGCUAGCACAUGUCCGAGUUCAACGACAGAUGGCGCGGCGAAAAGCCAAUCAGCUGGUGAUGAUAUUGAUCAAAUAAAACCCGCAGCUGACAACACGCAACAGACUGUCGCAGUCAAAGCAACGGUGCUGAGACCGGCAGGCUUUAAGCCGCAGUUCGAUCUAGGCUACAGCGGAUCAUCAAGAUCAGAGUCCGUUAAGCCAAGGAGAAUCAUGUCACGGACAGGUUCGGAGAGCGAGGGGAGUCAGGGCGCCACCGGUGGGGGGUUGGACUCCGAGGUCGACCCCCUGUUAACGGCAGGGGAUGGUGAGAGUAGGUCCUCUAAAGAAUCGGAACCAGAAUUAAGGGCCAUGGCAUCUGGAGUUGAGUACAGGCCCCGCAGUGAUGCUUUUCAUUCACAAAGUGAGCGACUACAGGAGAAUCGAGAGGAGUCGGACAAUGCAGUGUUUGAACUGCAGGCUCCAAUCAAAGGAUUUGAAGUCAUGGAGGCAAGGGCAAAAUUUACGGUGUAUAAAAUUCAUGUUCAAAGAGGUCCCGAGGAGUCAUGGUUUGUCUUCCGCAGGUACACAGACUUUGUCAGAAUAAACCGACAGCUGAGCAAACUCUUCCCUGGAUUUCGAUUGGCUCUUCCUCCCAAGCGGUGGUUCCGUGACAACUACGAUGUCAAUUUUCUGGAAGAUCGAAUGCUAGGACUUCAAGCUUUUAUAAACAACAUUCUUGGACACAGAGAAAUGAGCCAAAGUGCCCCAGUGCGAGAAUUUUUCUGCAUGGAUGACCCCCCUGGUCCACACGACAGUUUAGAAGAAAGCAGGGCACAUUGUGAGUAUUUGGAAGACUUGAACUUUAACCUUCAGCGAAGUUUGAAGGCGAAAGACUGUCAGAUCGAGUUGCUGAGAGAGGAACUAGAGCUAACGCGGCAGGAUUUGGAGGGAGCGCAGAGGGCUUUAUGGAAAAGAAAAUGACACCCCUCCCCCUUGAAUUUGCUGGCUACAAGCCUGCCUCUACAUAAAGCACUCCUUCCACUAUCUUCCACUUGUAAUAGUAUUGGCAUAAUUUCCCACUGGGAUAAUUUAUUAGAUCUGAUAAGCCGUGAAAGAGAAAAGAACAGGCGCCGCACAGUUUCCCCUACAUCGAUGCGUGAGAGCAUG
This 1560-nucleotide unclassified non-coding RNA is filed under the name Lingula anatina. RNAcentral describes it as "sorting nexin-16, transcript variant X3". The record is from RNAcentral. Lineage: Eukaryota; Metazoa; Brachiopoda; Lingulata; Lingulida; Lingulidae.